UGGCUCUCGCAUCGAUGAAGAACGCAGCGAAAUGCGAUAAGUAAUGUGAAUUGCAGAAUUCAGUGAAUCAUCGAAUCUUUGAACGCAUCUUGCGCUCCUUGGUAUUCCGAGGAGCAUGCCUGUUUGAGUGUCAUUAAAUUCUCAACCUUAUUAGCUUUUGCGACCUAAGGCUUGGAUGUGGGGGAUUGCUGCUGGCUUCUCACGAGGUCGGCUCCCCUGAAAUGCAUUAGCGGUACCCUGGUGGAAUCGAAUAUCAGUGUGAUAAUAUCUACGCUGUUAAUUCGUCCACACUUCAAAGGGCUUUGCUGCUUCAAGCCGUCUAGUUUCUGGACAAUCAUGACAUUUUUGACCUCAAAUCAGGUAGGACUACCCGCUGA
RNAcentral lists this unclassified non-coding RNA (377 nucleotides) under uncultured fungus. RNAcentral's name for it is "partial contains 5.8S ribosomal RNA and internal transcribed spacer 2". The stretch from base 1 to 133 matches the Rfam family "5.8S ribosomal RNA", at positions 22 to 154 of the family's 154-position model. The record is from RNAcentral. Lineage: Eukaryota; Fungi.